Molecule: ribosomal RNA, 925 nt
Filed under: uncultured bacterium
Lineage: Bacteria
Description: bacterial SSU rRNA
Rfam family: Bacterial small subunit ribosomal RNA
Source: RNAcentral
AGGCGGGUGAAUAAGUUGGAAGUGAAAUCCUAUAGCUUAACUAUAGAACUGCUUCCAAAACUGUUCACCUAGAGUAUGGGAGAGGUAGAUGGAAUUUCUGGUGUAGGGGUAAAAUCCGUAGAGAUCAGAAGGAAUACCGAUUGCGAAGGCGAUCUACUGGAACAUUACUGACGCUCAGAUGCGAAAGCGUGGGGAGCAAACAGGAUUAGAUACCCUGGUAGUCCACGCCCUAAACGAUGUACACUAGUUGUUGCUAUACUAGAUAUGGCAGUAAUGCAGUUAACACUUUAAGUGUACCGCCUGGGGAGUACGGUCGCAAGAUUAAAACUCAAAGGAAUAGACGGGGACCCGCACAAGCGGUGGAGCAUGUGGUUUAAUUCGACGAUACGCGAAAAACCUUACCUGGCCUUGACAUGAUAGGAAUCUUUAAGAGAUUAGAGAGUGCUAGCUUGCUAGAACCUAUACACAGGUGCUGCACGGCUGUCGUCAGCUCGUGUCGUGAGAUGUUGGGUUAAGUCCCGCAACGAGCGCAACCCACGUGAUUAGUUGCUAACGGUUCGGCCGAGAACUCUAAUCAGACUGCCUUCGUAAGGAGGAGGAAGGUGUGGACGACGUCAAGUCAUCAUGGCCCUUACGGCCAGGGCUACACACGUGCUACAAUGGGAUAUACAAAGAGUCGCAAUACCGCGAGGUGGAGCAAAUCUAGAAAAUAUCUCCCAGUUCGGAUUGUUCUCUGCAACUCGAGAACAUGAAGUUGGAAUCGCUAGUAAUCGUGGAUCAGCAUUGCCACGGUGAAUACGUUCCCGGGUCUUGUACUCACCGCCCGUCACACCAUGGGAGUUGAUUUCAUUCGAAGCGGGGAUGCUAAAGUAGCUACCUUCCACAAUGGGAUUAGCGACUGGGGUGAAGUCGUAACAAGGUAACC